UAGUAAUAUUGAUGGAAUCGGAUUUUUGGAACAUAUUUUCAACUGAGGCUUGGAAUUUAACCCCAGGGAAUAAUUUCACAUAAUCUUUAUUGCGACUCUCCUUCACGGCAUUUUGUAAGAUGUAUAAAAGUACAAAAAUGGGCGCAUAAAUGUUAUUCACAGCCAACGAUAAGAGAAUAAAAGAUUGAGAUUAUCAGAAAGAUGAAAUAGCUGACUCGAAUGUGAUAUCACAGUAAAGAUGACAAGAACUGGUUUAGUAAACGUGAAAAAAGUAAAGAGGGGAAUCACAAAAAGUAAAUAAGCAAUUGAGUGGAGGUAAAUGAAGAAUCCUUGUAAGUAUAAAUUCUUUCUUCCAGAUGACAUUUGCGUUAAGAACCUUGCCUCAACUUGGUGGCAAUUGCAUUGUGAAUGAGAUAAUUUCUGUGUUCUAAAACCGAAAAAGUAAGAUGGAACCUCUCUCGCUCAGUCAGCUAUUUGAUGCUGGGUGUUCCAAUCCAGGGAUAUUCCUGCUCCGUUAUUGUUUCCUCAGCCUCGGAAAUGACCACAGGUUGGUCCAUUUGAGUUGUAAAAGCAACAGCACAUGUUGCAUUGUAAUCUAUACGACUAAGCUUGGACUCGGCAUUAUGCCAUGCCAUGUGGAAAGUGAACGCUCUACCAAUACUAUGGCACGACUGACAGGUGCCGAGGACACACUAUGACACUAUGACAGUGCUUGUUGGCCAUACCUGUGACCACCAGUUCCAUCAUGAGCCGUGAAAUCCCCUCCUUGGAUCAUGAAAUUGGGAAUGAUGCGAUGGAAUGUGGAUCCUGCAUAACCGUAGCCCUUUUCUCCAGUGCAAAGCGCUCGAAAGUUCUCGGUGGUUUUAGGCACGAUAUCGUACUUUAGCUUCACAUCCACCCGUCCCAAAGGCUCUCCAUUCACGUUAAUAUCCAUGGAACAGAAACCUUUCUUCUUCCGACCUUCAGGGACAAAUUAGAAGUAAAAAGGAGUUAUAUUGACAUAUGAUUCAUGAAUCGUAUGUUGUAGGCUAGUCAAAUAUCAUUACCAUUUUCUCCUCGUCUUUUGGUCUUUCGUGCGCUUUGCAUCUUGGUGCCAUCCAGGGAUCCUAAAUUUAGAAGGCAAUCAAAGAGCUGUUAACUAGUAUCUGAGGCAAAAUAUCAUUACUCAUCUGGGAUAUGGCAAUUUUGACAGUCCUAUCAUUUCUAUUUUAGGUUAUUUCUAAAAGCGAGAUACCUUCACAUGAAAUGGAGUCAACCCAAAUUGAUAGUAAUUUUGCAGUUUGUCACACUUUAACACAGACUGACCAGGUUUUUCAAAGUCUCAAAGCUACUUCAGGGGCAUAUUAUCACCCAUCACCCAUCUUGAGCACUUAUUCAGCCAAAUAGUCUUCUGUUCGCUGCAACCUUUG
Tigriopus californicus is the source of this 1409-nucleotide long non-coding RNA. RefSeq lists it as uncharacterized. The record is from RefSeq and is a predicted model, not a curated record. The transcript has 3 exons. Lineage: Eukaryota; Metazoa; Arthropoda; Copepoda; Harpacticoida; Harpacticidae.